UAUGUGAUCGUCUCUCGCAUAUCAAUAAGCGGAGGAAAAGAAACUAACAAGGAUUCCCCUAGUAACGGCGAGUGAAGCGGGAAGAGCUCAAAUUUGAAAUCUUAAAGGGUUUCCCUUUACGAAUUGUAGUUUAAAGAAGUGUUUUCUGUUGAGGUUUUGGUAAAAGUUCUUUGGAAUAGGACAUCAUAGAGGGUGAGAAUCCCGUAUUUGACCUUUACUUUCAACUUUGUGAUACACUUUCAAAGAGUCGGAUUGUUUGGGAAUGCAGUCCAAAAUGGGUGGUAAAUUUCAUCUAAAGCUAAAUAUUGGCGAGAGACCGAUAGCGAACAAGUACCGUGAGGGAAAGAUGAAAAGAACUUUGAAAAGAGAGUUAAACAGUACGUGAAAUUGUCAAAAGGGAAGCGUUUGACACCAGUGUUGUUUUUCUGAAAAUCAAUUAAAGAACUGUUUAUGCUAAGUUGUUUAGACUUUAUCAGCUAUCUGCUUAGUUUUGAGCUUUUCUUUAAUGCACUUUUCAGUUAACAAGUCAACAUCAAUUUCUUUUGCUGUAAAAAAGCUUGAGGAAGGUGGCUUGAGAUUCGUCUUAAGUGUUUAUAGCCUCUUGCCUAUGCAGUCGGAGAGAUUGAGGUCUGCAGCGUAGAUCCUUCGGGGCUAAAUGCAUUUGUGCUAAGUUAUAGCAUUUUAUAGACAACUUGUUGACUAUGAUUUGUCUUGUAGCUUACUCGCUUAUGUUAUUUUACCUACGCUUAGGAUGUUGAGUCGUAGAGCACGCAG
This 774-nucleotide ribosomal RNA is filed under the name uncultured Neocallimastigales. RNAcentral describes it as "partial large subunit ribosomal RNA". It matches the Rfam family "Eukaryotic large subunit ribosomal RNA", at positions 24 to 628 of the family's 3401-position model. Lineage: Eukaryota; Fungi; Neocallimastigomycota; Neocallimastigomycetes; Neocallimastigales. The record is from RNAcentral.